GGUUUGUUUAUAUUUUGUCGAGGUGUUUCUCAAAUAAAGUCAUUAGUCAAUGAAAAUCCUAUUUAUUAAAUAAAUAGGACUGUUUAUUCUUUUCUAAUGAAAUGUUUGAAGGCCACCUUUCGAUUUCGUCUGAUAUUGAUAUGGAAUAAAAUUCGCUGAAUUUGCAAUAAUGAUUCAUUACACGAACUGUCACAAGUGAAAAAUGGCGGUAUUGAAUCUAUUCAUUAGUAGUCAGUACAGUAAGCACGUGGAUUUUUCUUUCUUGAAAAGGGAUUUAGCAAUUAUCAUACAGGAAUUAACCUGAUUUAAUGUGCUAACAUUCAUAAUUCAUGGAUUAAUGAAGUUUCAAAUGCUGGCACUCCUGGAUAUCGAGAACUGCAAAUUAUAAAAAGUUGCCUAUAUGACUUCUUCUAUGGUGAUAUAAUUUAGUGUAGAAAUAUAGGAUUAGCAGAUAAUGAAUGCCAAGGCAUCUAGUGCAUUGAUUGACCCUGGGUGACAUAUGGACUUGAAUUCAAGGUGGAGAUUCACAAGAUGACUAGUGAAGACUGUAGAGACAAGUAUCCAGAAGAUAAUUUAAAUGGAUAUUAAUCUAUCAUUUAGUAGUUUCUUUAACAUUUUGAGUUUAUGACAAGGUGACAUCCUGACCUAUAAUGGUAGUUUUUAAAUUGUAAUCUAUUUAUAAAAAAAAAAAUGUUAUGUGGGUGGCCUACUUCUUUUAUCAAAUACACUAACAGACUGUUUUAUGUAACAAUUAGCAAGUUCAUAUAAUUUUGAACAAAUUCAAACCUUUUGAUAUGUAUGUAAAAGAUGACUCCAUCAACAUUUAUGACAUUUAAAACAUAAUUAAAAUAAUAAAUUGUAAAAUAUUUAUGGAUCAAAAACUAACAUUAAAAUACUUUAUCAGAUAAGAAUGAUAAAUAAGGAAAAUAAAUCAAGAGUAUCAACAUAUGUAUGUGAUGAAUUUAACAUCAGGUCAAUGAGAAAAUAAAGAGCACUUGGGCUUGACCAUAUGGAUAUCUUCUUCCAAAUCUUUAUUUAAAUAAAAUAAUAGUACAGCUAUUUUGACUGAAGGAUUCCAAGAAUGGUACAAUGAACUAUUUGAAGGGUUAAAACAGACUGUUUGUGUGGUCUUGAUGAUAUUUUUGUCUUUGAGGUAGCUAUCUGAUAGAUGGAUGGUGAUUUACUGGAGUACUUCAAUAAUAAAGAAAACACAGUAUCCCUUGUACACAGUGUAAGAGUACCAACACUCUCAACCUUGGUCCCUUUACCUCAGAGUGUUGUAAACACAAUAAUUGCUUUUUGAGAACCAAUUACCAGAAGUGUAGCAACUGUAUGGGUAGUUCUUUAUAGCAGUAAUUCUAUAGUAUCUUCUAGUAUAGCAGUUUUCAGUCUCAUUGAUAAAUAUCAGUAAAUAUGUCAAUUAAACCAGUGUACAUCUUGUUUUGCUCAAAACAUAGAACCAAUAAUUUCAGUCCAAGGUGGUAAAGAUGUGCUAGAGAAAUCAAAUAUAUACAGUAUCUAAACUGUAAAUAUUAUUAAAUAUCUAAUAAAUUGACUGUUACAUGGUCAUUACUAUGAUAAUAAUCUAGUCAAUUUUUCGCGUUUUUAAGGGCAUUUUAGAAGAUCUGAAAGAAAAAUAAAUCAUUGCAAGAUUUCAUGAAGUUUAUAUAUACUGAUUCAUUCUGUCAUGUUAAAAAUCUUUGUAUCCUAUAUAGGCUAUUAAUUUAACACAAUUUAAUUACACCCCACCCCCAUACUUCUUUUGUCUAUUUGUUUAUAUUUACUUGCCAUGUAUAUAUUGUGUAUUAUAUUAGUGUACAUGUAUGUUAUCUGAUGAGUCAGUAAACUUGAAGAAAUAAAGAAUUGAAAUACUAAUAAUACAUUUAUAGAGCAUCUGAAAUCUAACAUGAUGUGCUGCCCAUCAGUAUUAUUCAACAAAUAACCAGGGACAUUAACAAACAAUUAAACACACCAAGAAAAUUUGUAACUUUAACAUAUUAUCCUGUUACUUAAAGGGGCUAAAUUGCUACUAUUUGGGACCUAGAAAUUGACACAAAUGGGUUGCAACAUAUAUAAUAAUGUAAUAUGAAUGUAUAUUAACUGAUUUACAUUCAAUCGUUUCCAUUUUUACCCUAAUUUCAAGUCAGUUUUGUUUGGCAAAAUACACCAAAUGUCUCAAUCGAAUGGCAAUCUCUAGUAUCUGGUUAUUCUGGUCUACAUCGAUAGUAUUUAUUGUGCAUGUUCUCCAGAUAAGAAUAUCGCGUCACCGUUUGACAUGACUCGUUGAGUAUCUCUAGCCUUGUUCUUCGAGUCCCUUGUUACAAAUGGCGCUGAUUCGUGCACCAAUGGUAAAAUGUGUAUUUUGUCUUAAAUAUUGAAUAUCAGAAGCCCAUCUUUUCCCGAUAAGAUCACAAUAUCAAUUUUGAUUUAAAUUGACAAAUAAUUAGUGUUUUCAAUGUCGAAGACUUUGGAUGAUAUUGAGUUAGAGACUUAGCUACUUUAAGUCUGCUGUAAUGGUCUUUCCAUUCAAAACCAGAAGUCAGUUUAAAUUGGUUGCAAAAACGAAUCCUUGACAUUGCAAAUCAUGAAUGAAAUUUAUACAAAUUAAUCAAUAAAACACUACACCAACAGAAUCUUUUAUAGAUAAGAUUUAUUUUAAAUUACUUGUACAUGUACUAGUAAAUUGUCAUCUAAGCCUUUGCCCUUGUGUUAAUAUGGUUCUAAACAAUUCCUUUAUAAUAAUUAACAAUUAUCAUAAUUAAUAUCAUUCUAUCCAUUAACUAUAUGAAUAAAUAAAUAAUAAUUGAUGAUAAUAAUUAAUUAGGCUAAUUAACACAGUAUUCAAAUGUACUUUAGAUGUUAUUGUAUUAAUUCUUAGGGACAUAUCCCUAGACAUAUGCCAUGGUCUUACGUCAGCUACAGGAAAUUUUAAAAACAGAUUGGAUUAAUACUUGAUAGUUGAUAGAUAAUGUCUGUAGUCAAAUAUUUCAAUUUAAGUAUAUAAAUAUGAAAUGGCAACUAUCAAGCAUUAUACACUGAUAAAUUUUUAUAUUGGUUGAAACUGCUGUUUAUCAUUUGUUGGAUAUUCCUUGAACACCUACAAAUUGUUAAAAUUAAAUCUCUAAAUGCAAGAUCAGUCUAAAAAUGGUUCAGUAUUUACAAAGAUAUGAUGAAUUAAAAAUUUGUCAACGAGACUAUUAAAAUGAAUUUGCCAGCUUCUAAUUGGGGUGAAGAUGUUUAAUAAGUGAAUGCCUUGACAGAUGACCAUUUUCUGCUUAGGCUAAGCAAAGAUAAGCAAUUAGAUUUAUCAAUGCUUUGGAACACCAUGUCACUCUUAUUCAAAUUGUUGUACCGGUAUAGUUUCAUUAGAGCUGUACUGGUGUCUUGACUUAGUUCGAUAAUGAGCAAUAUUUGUUAAGAGUGAUAAGUAAUUUGAUUGUUUGAUACGUUGUUAAAAGAUAAUAAAUCUAUGAGUGGCAUCUAAUUAUAUUGGGAUUAAGGCAGGGGGAGGGCGGGGACAUCAGCCUCACUUAUGCCAUCAUGGCUUCUUCUUUCAUUAAAUUUCGUUGUCGUCUUAAACUACAGGUAACUCGAUAUUCGAACAAAAAACUAAUGGUAUUGCACGCAAUUAAUGGCUGACAUAACUCAACAAUCAAUGAGGUUUAUUCUGAUUACUGUUUUGAUAAAAAUUGACUUUACAAUCACCAUGAACAUAGUAUGUUUACGUACGUUGUUCCCAAGAGAAAACUGAAGGCUUCCCCGUAUUACUAAAAAUAGAAUGACAGCUCGUGAACGGAUACAAAGUUAGUUCAUCAUUGUAUACUAUUUGGGUGAUGAAGUACCAAUAUCGGGUAUGGUAUAUAACAUUAAAUAACACAACAAGUAAAGCUAUUACUUCCAUAUUUAUGAAGUGUCAUAUCAUUAUUGUGAGAAUAUAACUCUGUUAACCUCUUUUGUGUGAGGGUCAUUGACUUAACCUAUUUAAAUGUUGACGAAAGUUAAUUUCUUUUUUCGUUUUUCUUUUUGUAAGUUUGACUAAAUGAUGUAAUUAGAUGUAUAAUCUGUAUGUGGAAUAUGUUCUAAUAACAUGUUGACCAUAUACAUAAAUUAUUACGGUUAUA
Patella vulgata (common limpet) is the source of this 4121-nucleotide long non-coding RNA. RefSeq lists it as uncharacterized. The record is from RefSeq and is a predicted model, not a curated record. The transcript is spliced from 3 exons. Lineage: Eukaryota; Metazoa; Mollusca; Gastropoda; Patellidae.